CCUACGGGAGGCAGCAGUGGGGGAUAUUGCACAAUGGGGGAAACCCUGAUGCAGCGACGCCGCGUGAGUGAAGAAGUCUUUCGGUAUGUAAAGCUCUAUCAGCAGGGAAGAAAAUGACAGUACCUGACCAAGAAGCCCCGGGUAACUACGUGCCAGCAGCCGCGGUAUAAGUAGGGGGCAAGCGUUAUCCGGAUUUACUGGGUGUAAAGGGAGCGUAGACGGUCAUGUAAGUCUGGAGUGAAAGCCCGGGGCCCAACCCCGGGACUGCAUUGGAAACUGGGUGGCUUGAGUACAGGAGGGGCAGGUGGAAUUCCGGGUGUAGCGGUGAAAUGCGUAGAUAUCAGGAGGAACACCGGUGGCGAAGGCGGCCUGCUGGACUGAAACUGACGUUGAGGCUCGAAAGCGUGGGGAGCAAACAGGAUUAGAUACCCGUGUAGUC
RNAcentral lists this ribosomal RNA (439 nucleotides) under uncultured bacterium. Its description in RNAcentral is "partial 16S ribosomal RNA". It matches the Rfam family "Bacterial small subunit ribosomal RNA", at positions 338 to 795 of the family's 1533-position model. The record is from RNAcentral.